Molecule: ribosomal RNA, 317 nt
Filed under: Synalpheus streptodactylus complex sp. A KMH-2014
Lineage: Eukaryota; Metazoa; Arthropoda; Malacostraca; Decapoda; Alpheidae
Description: Synalpheus streptodactylus A KMH-2014 partial 16S ribosomal RNA
Source: RNAcentral
AGGUAGCAUAAUCAAUAGUCUUUUAAUUGGAGGCUUGAAUGAAGGGUUUGACGGAAAGAAAAGUGUCUCCUUGGUUUAUAUUGAAAUUAACUUUUGUGUGAAAAGGCAUUAAUAAAUUAGUGGGACGAUAAGACCCUAUAAAACUUAAUAUAUAUUAUACUGCUUCUUAGGAUUGAAUUAUUAAUUAUAGAGUGGUAAAGUGUAUUUUGCUGGGGCGGCAUGAAUAUAAUUUGUAACUGUUUGUAAUGUGAAAUAUGAUUUUAUAGAUAUUGGUCCUUCAUUGAGGAGGUAAGAGUAAGUUACUUUAGGGAUAACAG